Molecule: non-coding RNA, 207 nt
Filed under: Enterocloster clostridioformis
Lineage: Bacteria; Bacillati; Bacillota; Clostridia; Lachnospirales; Lachnospiraceae
Source: RNAcentral
AGAACUGAUAUUUCAAUGAGUGGAAUGAUGGGGUAACGCCCUGAAACGCUCACCCUGAUACUCCGAUAUGCGUUAGCUUGGCAAAAAGCAAAGCGUAUAAAGCUCGGUGAAGUCGGCUGAAAGCUACCGUAACUUCAAUAUAAUUUUUUUGGAAACGAAAGCUGCCCAGAGGUGGGUGGUGUAGCCGAUAGGUCGGGGGUCUAUAAA